GCCCCACACGACAAACCCUGUGGAUCGGCCUCCGGAGCCGUGUGCGCAGGUUCGAAUCCUGCCGAGGGCG
RNAcentral lists this transfer RNA (70 nucleotides) under Acidimicrobiia bacterium. RNAcentral's name for it is "tRNA-Arg". The record is from RNAcentral. Lineage: Bacteria; Bacillati; Actinomycetota; Acidimicrobiia.